This 494-nucleotide ribosomal RNA is filed under the name uncultured Propionibacterium sp. RNAcentral describes it as "bacterial SSU rRNA". It matches the Rfam family "Bacterial small subunit ribosomal RNA", at positions 1 to 507 of the family's 1533-position model. Lineage: Bacteria; Bacillati; Actinomycetota; Actinomycetes; Propionibacteriales; Propionibacteriaceae. The record is from RNAcentral.
AGAGUUUCGUAGUCCUCGGCGUCAGGACGAACGCUGGCGGCGUGCUUAACACAUGCAAGUCGAACGGAAAGGCCCUGCUUUUGUGGGGUGCUCGAGUGGCGAACGGGUGAGUAACACGUGAGUAACCUGCCCUUGACUUUGGGAUAACUUCAGGAAACUGGGGCUAAUACCGGAUAGGAGCUCCUGCUGCAUGGUGGGGGUUGGAAAGUUUCGGCGGUUGGGGAUGGACUCGCGGCUUAUCAGCUUGUUGGUGGGGUAGUGGCUUACCAAGGCUUUGACGGGUAGCCGGCCUGAGAGGGUGACCGGCCACAUUGGGACUGAGAUACGGCCCAGACUCCUACGGGAGGCAGCAGUGGGGAAUAUUGCACAAUGGGCGGAAGCCUGAUGCAGCAACGCCGCGUGUCGGGAUGACGGCCUUCGGGUUGUAAACCGCUUUCGCCUGUGACGAAGCGUGAGUGACGGUAAUGGGUAAAGAAGCACCGGCUAACUACGUG